AACUGACAGCUUUGAACCCCUUAGACACUUGUGCACUAGGGAAAGACCCAGAUAUCAGGCAGAGGCACAGAUGCCAUCCUUAUUCAUAACCCUCUUCCUUGAAGGCUGGUGAGUUAGUGGAAUAUGAGUUCUGGUUUGGGAAUCAGAUCGUACCUGUAACCAAAGGGCUUGGGAGCAAUCUGCUCAUGAAAGCAUCCUUUAUUAUAACAGGAUGCAUCUGUAAAAGGAACAUCAGCCUGGAGACCAUCAGGCAAGGGGGGUUGAUCACUAAGUGUCUGAUUCAAGGAAAAAAUAAGAUUAAUAAUGUAUUUCCAUUUAGGUUUUCUAGAGCAAAGGUUGAAAAUAUAAUCAUAUACCUACUUCUGUUUUCUGAAACAGAAAAUGCAGGGAUUCAUCUUCAGAAUCAGCCGUUUGUUACGUGGGUCUCCCUGCAUCAAGGACACUGAGGAGGAGCACACGCCAUGUCUUAGAUGUUGUGUGGGGGCAGCGAAUGGGGGCUUUAGGAACUUCCUGGUCAAGCUGUUGGGUGCUGGAUUAGACAUGAGCUGCUUCCCUCCUUCCAGCUCUGAGUCCUUUCGAAGCAGCAGGUGGGAAUGUUGCAGGUGUAUGUUUUGUAGAACCCCAAAAUUGUAGCCUUAACAAUAAGCAUCCCCACUUCAUAACCUGUUCUUUCUUAGUAAUAACUUUAUUGAAAUACAAUUCAUAGACCAAAAGUUCACCUUUUUCUUUUUUUUUUUUUUUGCCUUCCGAUCUUUUUUUUUUAUUAUUUUUUUAACUUUUAUUUAAUGAAUAUAAAUUUCCAAAGUACGGCUCUCCUGAAGGCCAGGCCCAACAACGCCGGCCCUACCGCAGGCGAAGGUUCCCACCUUACUACAUGCGGAGACCCUAUGGGCGUCGACCACAGUAUUCCAACCCUCCUGUGCAGGGAGAAGUGAUGGAAGGUGUCCUCCUCGCCAAAGACAGCCUAGAGAGGACGGCAAUGAAGAAGAUAAGGAAAACCAGGGAGAUGAGACCCAGGGCCAGCAGUCACCUCAGCGUCGGUACCGCUGCAACUUCAACUACCGACGCAGACGCCCAGAUAACCCUAAACCACAAGAUGGCAGAGAGACAAAAGCAGCCGAUCCACCAGCUGAGAAUUCGUCCCUCCGGAGGCUGAGUAGGGCGGGGCUGAGUAAAUGCCAGCUUAACAUCUCUACCAUCAUCCGGUUUAGUCAUCCAACAAGAAGAAAUGAAUAUGAAAUUCCAGCAAUAAGAAAUGAACAAAAGAUUGGAGCUGAAGACCUUAAGUGCUUGCUUUUUGCCUGUUGACCAGAUUACUAGAACUAUCUGCAUUAUCUAUGCAGCAUGGGGUUUUUAUUAUUUUUACCUAAAGAUGUCUCUUUUUGGUAACGACAAACAUGUUUUUUAAAAAAGCCUGAUUUUUCUCAAUACACCUUUAAAGGUUUUUAAGUUGUUUCAUAUCUGGUCAAGUUGAGACUUUUAAGAACUUCAUUUUUAAUUUGUAAUAAAAGUUUACAACUUGAUUUUUUCA
RNAcentral lists this long non-coding RNA (1531 nucleotides) under Oryctolagus cuniculus (rabbit). Its description in RNAcentral is "lncRNA (ENSOCUG00000031261.1)". Lineage: Eukaryota; Metazoa; Chordata; Mammalia; Lagomorpha; Leporidae. The record is from RNAcentral.